CCUACGGGCGGCUGCAGUGGGGAAUAUUGCGCAAUGGGCGAAAGCCUGACGCAGCGACGCCGCGUGGGUGAUGAAGGCCUUCGGGUUGUAAAGCCCUGUCGGGUGGAACGAACGAUCUGGCGGCGAAUAACCGCCGGGUGUGAUGGUACCACCGAAGGAAGCGCCGGCUAACUACGUGCCAGCAGCCGCGGUAAGACGUAGGGGGCGAGCGUUGUUCGGAUUUACUGGGCGUAAAGCGCGCGUAGGCGGCCCACGGCUGAACCGAGGUCCGGCAUCCGAUACUGUCUAGCUCGAGUCUAGGAGAGGAGAGCGGAAUUCCCGGUGUAGCGGUGAAAUGCGUAGAUAUUGGGAGGAACACCGGUGGCGAAGGCGGCUUUCCGGACUAGUACUGACGCUGAGGCGCGAAAGCUAGGGGAGCGAACGGGAUUAGAUACCCGAGUAGUC
RNAcentral lists this ribosomal RNA (444 nucleotides) under uncultured bacterium. Its description in RNAcentral is "partial 16S ribosomal RNA". It matches the Rfam family "Bacterial small subunit ribosomal RNA", at positions 338 to 795 of the family's 1533-position model. The record is from RNAcentral.